AUGAACGCUGGCGGCGUGCCUAAUACAUGCCAGUCGAGCGCACAGACGAGGAGCUUGCUCCUCUGACGUUAGCGGCGGACGUGUGAGUAACACGUGGAUAACCUACCUAUAAGACUGGGAUAACUUCGGGAAACCGGAGCUAAUACCGGAUAAUAUAUUGAACCGCAUGGUUCAAUAGUGAAAGACGGUUUUGCUGUCACUUAUAGAUGGAUCCGCGCCGCAUUAGCUAGUUGGUAAGGUAACGGCUUACCAAGGCAACGAUGCGUAGCCGACCUGAGAGGGUGAUCGGCCACACUGGAACUGAGACACGGUCCAGACUCCUACGGGAGGCAGCAGUAGGGAAUCUUCCGCAAUGGGCGAAAGCCUGACGGAGCAACGCCGCGUGAGUGAUGAAGGUCUUCGGAUCGUAAAACUCUGUUAUUAGGGAAGAACAAAUGUGUAAGUAACUAUGCACGUCUUGACGGUACCUAAUCAGAAAGCCACGGCUAACUACGUG
This 496-nucleotide ribosomal RNA is filed under the name uncultured bacterium. RNAcentral describes it as "partial 16S ribosomal RNA". It matches the Rfam family "Bacterial small subunit ribosomal RNA", at positions 29 to 507 of the family's 1533-position model. The record is from RNAcentral.